GAUUAACGCUGGCGGCGUGCAUAACACAUGCAAGUCGAACGAUGAAACUUAACUGAUUUCUUCGGAAUGAUUUUAAGUGGCUUAGUGGCGGACGGGUGAGUAACGCGUGAGUAACCUGCCUUGGAGAAGGGGAUAGCCUUUGGAAACGAAGAAUAAUACCCUAUGAUAUGAUACUAUCUCAUGAUAUUAUCAUCAAAGAUUUAUCGCUCUAAGAUGGACUUGCGUCUGAUUAGUUAGUUGGUGAGGUAACAGCUCACCAAGGCAGCGAUCAGUAGCCGGCUUGAGAGAGUGUACGGCCACAUUGGGACUGAGACACGGCCCAGACUCCUACGGGAGGGAGCAGUGGGGAAUUUUGCACAAUGGGGGAAUCCCUGAUGCAGCGACGCCGCGUGAUUUAGAAGGCCUUCGGGUUGUAAAAAUCUUUUGUAUGGGAAGAAAAUGACAGUACCAUACGAAUAAGGACCGGCUAAUUACGUG
This 477-nucleotide ribosomal RNA is filed under the name uncultured bacterium. RNAcentral describes it as "partial 16S ribosomal RNA". It matches the Rfam family "Bacterial small subunit ribosomal RNA", at positions 28 to 507 of the family's 1533-position model. The record is from RNAcentral.